CGUGGGUAACCUGCCUCAGUGAGGGGGAUAGCCUUCCGAAAGGAAAGAUUAAUACCGCAUAAUAUCUUAUGGCCACAUGGUCAUUUGAUUAAAGGAGUAAUCCGCACUGAGAUGGACCCGCGGCGCAUUAGCUAGUUGGUGAGGUAACGGCUCACCAAGGCCACGAUGCGUAGCCGACCUGAGAGGGUGAUCGGCCACAUUGGAACUGAGAUACGGUCCAG
Molecule: ribosomal RNA, 221 nt
Filed under: uncultured bacterium
Lineage: Bacteria
Description: partial 16S ribosomal RNA
Rfam family: Bacterial small subunit ribosomal RNA
Source: RNAcentral